RNAcentral lists this unclassified non-coding RNA (240 nucleotides) under Hevea brasiliensis (rubber tree). Lineage: Eukaryota; Viridiplantae; Streptophyta; Magnoliopsida; Malpighiales; Euphorbiaceae. The record is from RNAcentral.
AGAAUUUAAGCAUCCGGCCACAACAAUACAUAAUUAUAGAUAAGGAUCAUUUAACCUUUAAAGAGUUAAUUUCCUUGCAAUGGCAGGCUGUCAUCUUAUUGCAAAGACGUUCGCUUUCUUUCCUUUCUUGUCAUUCCGCCAUUUUUUAUUCUUUUUCAUUUCUUUCCCUUAGAAGUCCUUUUCCUGUCUCCCUGCAAAUUUUUUUCCCCAGAAAAUGCAGCAAGCAAGCACAAACUAUAG